RNA transcript from Sphaeramia orbicularis (orbiculate cardinalfish), 455 nucleotides. It is a transcript of the gene named protein PET117 homolog, mitochondrial-like, with no coding region annotated. The transcript has 4 exons. The record is from RefSeq and is a predicted model, not a curated record. NCBI's taxonomy places the organism in Eukaryota, Metazoa, Chordata, Actinopteri, Kurtiformes, Apogonidae.
UUGUAGCGUAGAAGAAGAGCCGCAGCUUUGCUGAAAGCAACUCUGUUAGCGGCUGUAGGUAACGUGAUGUCCACAACCUCCAAAGUGGUUCUGGGAGUUUCUGUGGUUCUGACUCUGAGCACCGUGGGAGCCGUGCACCUCAAACAGUCCUGGGACAGAGAGCGUCUCCACGAGGGUGUGGUCAGGGAUCUGGAGCGAGUCCAGAGAAAGAAGGAGAAUCUGAGGCUUCUGGAGGAACAGAGGACUCUAACCCGACAACUGGAGGCGGAGAGGCGGAGCAAAGAGUCUGAGCUCCACCCACAGGACCACACCCACCACUAACGCAGGGAACUGAAGCCUCUUCAAACCAAACGUCCAGAUGCUUUGGAACUGAAAAAAAUACAGUGUGUCAGUCACGGAUUGGACAUGGACAGCGGCAGCGAGCAGCUGGGCGGAGCUGAUGACGAGGCGGCGUG